RNAcentral lists this ribosomal RNA (250 nucleotides) under uncultured prokaryote. RNAcentral describes it as "partial 16S ribosomal RNA". It matches the Rfam family "Bacterial small subunit ribosomal RNA", at positions 524 to 773 of the family's 1533-position model. The record is from RNAcentral.
UACGGAGGGGGCUAGCGUUGUUCGGAAUUACUGGGCGUAAAGCGCACGUAGGCGGCUUUGUAAGUUAGAGGUGAAAGCCUGGAGCUUAACUCCAGAAUUGCCUUUAAGACUGCAUCGCUUGAAUCCGAGAGAGGUGAGUGGAAUUCCGAGUGCAGAGGUGAAAUUCGUAGAUAUUCGGAAGAACACCAGUGGCGAAGGCGGCUCACUGGCUCGGUAUUGACGCUGAGGUGCGAAAGCGUGGGGAGCAAAC